UGCCUAAAGCGGCCGUAGCUGGCUAAGUUAGUCCCCUGUUAAAUCCAACGAAUUAAUCGUUGGAUCGCGGGGGAUACUGCUUGGCUAGGGGACGAGAGAGGCAGACGGUAUUUCCGGGGUAGGGGUGAAAUCCUAUAAUCCCGGGAAGACCACCAGUGGCGAAGGCUGUCUGCUAGAACGCGCCCGACGGUGAGGGAUGAAAGCUGGGGGAGCGAACCGGAUUAGAUACCCGGGUAGUCCCAGCUGUAAACGAUGCAGGCUAGGUGUUUGGACGGCCACGUGCCGUUCUAGUGCCGCAGGGAAGCUGUUAAGCCUGCCGCCUGGGGAGUACGAUCGCAAGAUUGAAACUUAAAGGAAUUGGCGGGGGAGCACCACAAGGGGUGAAGCUUGCGGUUUAAUUGGAGUCAACGCCGGAAAUCUCACCGGGAGCGACAGCAGUGUGAAGGCCAGAUUAAAGGUCUUGCCAGACGAGCUGAGAGGAGGUGCAUGGCCGUCGCCAGUUCGUGCCGUGAGGUGUCCUGUUAAGUCAGGCAACGAUCGAGACCCGCGUCCUCUGUUGCUACUAGCCUUGUGCUGGGCACACUGAGGAGACCGCCACUGAUAAAGUGGAGGAAGGAGCGGGCCACGGCAGGUCAGUAUGCCCCGAAUCUCCCGGGCCACACGCGAGCUGCAAUGGCAGGUACAAUGAGUUCCGACCUCGAAAGGGGGAGGCAAUCUCGAAAGCCUGCCGUAGUUGGGAUCGAAGGCUGCAACCCGCCUUCGUGAACAUGGAAUCCCUA
RNAcentral lists this ribosomal RNA (779 nucleotides) under uncultured archaeon. RNAcentral describes it as "bacterial SSU rRNA". It matches the Rfam family "Archaeal small subunit ribosomal RNA", at positions 507 to 1293 of the family's 1478-position model. The record is from RNAcentral.